UCUCCCUCCCCCAAAGCCCCCUCCUCUGUUUUCACCCACACCAGCCCCUCCAUUUCUACUCCCUCUCCCCAGCCCUUGCUCCCUCACCUCCUAGUUUCUGAAUCGAAAUCACCUUGGCCUCCAGACGGGAAGCUACCUGGAGGCCCUUGGUGCCUUCCUGGGCAAUCCAAUCAGAGGUCAUUCUAGGAGCAGGAACCCUCAAGGGUGUUUUUCCCCCAGCUGUUGCUCUACUGCAAACAAGCAUUCUCAUUUUUGCCAGUUUCAAAUGCUGUGCGUCCUCAUCGCCAUCUGGAAUGGAACGGGCAUUCAUUUGUGCUCGAGCACGCAGCCCCCACACAUGCGUGUGCCUAUGGUUCCCUCCUGCAUCAUGCCCUUGGCUUGCUCUGGGGUUAAUGGCUUAUGAUUUGCCAAUUUGCAUGGAAUUCUCAGGAAAGAGAGACGUUGACCUAUCUGUUAACAUAGACCUCGGCCAUCUGUGACAAGGACAAGGCAGAGAAACCCGUCCUAAGAGUGUCUGUGUUGACUCUGCGAAGACUCCAACCUGGGAGUCAGGCAAAUGCUCCUUCUGUCUGCUGUGCCCAGGGCCUGGCUUGCUGCUCUGCUCUGCCCUCUCCGAAAGGACCUCCUGUGUGAUCUGGACCCUAGAAUACGGUGCCUAGGAUGAGAGAUGUGUGAAGGAGGAGAGCAAGGAAAGAGAAAAGAAAAGGAACAAUGAGAGAGACUAGAGAAUCAGGUCCCUUGUGAACUCAGGAACAAGGAUAACAGAAAAAAUGGUCAUUUAUACAUUUUAAUCAGGAGUUCAAAUCUUUCGGCUGAAAGUAAUAGAAACACAACUGUAAUUAGCUUGAGCCUCAAAGGGGACAAUGUUGGCUCACAGAAGCUGACCAUGGGGACAGCAGAGAGGGAACAACUGGGUUCAGGGAGUGGAUACCCUGGGGACUCAUCCUCUCCUCUUGGCUGUUAGUUCCCCCACAGCUCUCAGGGCUGUGCCAGAGGAGGGAGCUCUGCCCGCCAGCUCCAGGUAGAAGGUUCUGGCAAACAGCGACACCAUUUUUCCGUUGUCUGGUUUCAGAAAUGUUAAACCUUGAUACUCUCAACCAUUGGUGAAGGAAUGGGAAAACAGAGACCCUAAUGCUCUAAUAUACUGCUGGAGGGGGUACAAAUGGUCCCAACCACUUUGGGGAGAAAUUUGACUACCUAUUAUGAUUUUAAAUGUGGGUACUAUUGAUUUGAUGAUGCCACUUCUCAAAAUCCAGACCAGUAACUCUCACACAUGUGCAUAAGGAAAUAUAGGCAAGGAUGUUAUUUGAGGUGUUAUUUGUAGCACAAAAUUAGAAAUAACUAAUGUCCAUUUUUAUGGUAUAUUUCACACUCUGAAAAUAUGGAAACUGUUAAAAAGAAUGAAAUGUCUACUGACAUAAACCCCGAAGCUGUCUUGAUAAAUGAAAAAAAUAAUUUGCAGAAUGAUACAUACAAUAUGGUAUCACUCAAGCGUAAAUGAAAACAAAAACAAAAGCUUGAAAUAAUAAUAGAUAUGUCUACAUGUAUGUUUAUAACGUAUAUUUCUAAAUGUCUCCAAAUGCGUAGAAGACGGUCUGGUGAGGGACUGAGAUUAGGAGUGAGGAUUGAAGGAGACUGUCAGGUGUGAAUUUUUUCGGUGAUGACAUAUUUAUGUAUAGUUUCUGUAUUUAGAAUUAGAAUUUAAAAGGAAAAAGCUAUGGAAGCAUUCUGAUUGGUUCAACUUGGGUCACGUGACUGUUCCUAGCCCAAUCCAUGUGGCCAAGGGGCCUCUAGGGUUCUAUGACUGGCGCCAUCUGGGUUACCCACUCACCCCUGUGAACACUGGAGCAAUACCCAUGAUCGGCAGCUCCUACUAUCAUUACGUGUUAUAGUGGGGAGGGAGCAAUUACCCCAAAGAAGGGAGGUGCUGUGCUGGGGCAGACAAAAUGGUAAAUCUCCUCUAUAGUGAAAGCAUUUGGGC
Molecule: long non-coding RNA, 1981 nt
Filed under: Equus asinus (donkey)
Lineage: Eukaryota; Metazoa; Chordata; Mammalia; Perissodactyla; Equidae
Description: lncRNA (ENSEASG00005028587.1)
Source: RNAcentral